This 320-nucleotide ribosomal RNA is filed under the name Arthrinium phaeospermum. Its description in RNAcentral is "eukaryotic LSU rRNA". It matches the Rfam family "Eukaryotic large subunit ribosomal RNA", at positions 331 to 670 of the family's 3401-position model. Lineage: Eukaryota; Fungi; Ascomycota; Sordariomycetes; Amphisphaeriales; Apiosporaceae. The record is from RNAcentral.
AGACCGAUAGCGAACAAGUAGAGUGAUCGAAAGAUGAAAAGCACUUUGAAAAGAGGGUUAAAUAGCACGUGAAAUUGUUGAAAGGGAAGGAUUUAUGACCAGACUUUUUCUAGGGGGAUCAUCCGGUGUUCUCACUGGUGCACUUCCCCUAGUUGAGGCCAGCAUCGGUUUCUGUCGAGGGAUAAAAGCUUUAGGAAUGUGGCACCCUCCGGGGUGUGUUAUAGCCUGUUGCAUAAUACCUUGACGGGGACCGAGGUUCGCGCAUUGCAAGGAUGCUGGCGUAAUGGUUAUUAAUCACCCGUCUUGAAACACGGACCAAG